UACGUAGGUGGCAAGCGUUGUCCGGAUUUAUUGGGCGUAAAGCGAACGCAGGCGGGAAGAUAAGUCAGCUGUGAAAGCCCUCGGCUCAACCGGGGAAGAGCAGCUGAAACUAUAUUUCUUGAGUGCAGAAGAGGAGAGUGGAACUCCAUGUGUAGCGGUGGAAUGCGUAGAUAUAUGGAAGAACACCAGUGGCGAAGGCGGCUCUCUGGUCUGUAACUGACGCUGAGGUGCGAAAGCAUGGGUAGCGAACAGG
RNAcentral lists this ribosomal RNA (253 nucleotides) under uncultured bacterium. Its description in RNAcentral is "partial 16S ribosomal RNA". It matches the Rfam family "Bacterial small subunit ribosomal RNA", at positions 524 to 776 of the family's 1533-position model. The record is from RNAcentral.